This 21-nucleotide non-coding RNA is filed under the name Alligator mississippiensis (American alligator). Its record names the gene ami-miR-302b-3p. The record is from miRBase by way of RNAcentral. RNAcentral also lists the same sequence under 3 other names. Lineage: Eukaryota; Metazoa; Chordata; Crocodylia; Alligatoridae.
UAAGUGCUUCCAUGUUUUAGU